CCUAGGAGCUGACAGGACAACAUGAUAAGCACUGGCCGCUCACUUCUCCAACGCCCCAGGCGCCAUUUGCCUCCGAGAGGACAGAGGAGCAUGGGGGAGAAAGGCUGCUCUGGAGAUUGUAAGAAUGGCUGACCAGCAGGGUCAGUGUGUGGGUGUGGGAAAGCGUAAGCCGAAUAAACCCUUUCCUCCCCAACUUGCUUCUUGGUCAUGAUGUUUGUGCAGGAAUAGAAACCCUGACUAAGACAAAUUGGUACCAGCAGAGUGGGGCAUUCCUGUGACAACCUGACCAUGUUUUGGGGAGGACUGUGGAAGGACUUUGGAACUUUGGGCUUGAAGAUCCAUCCGUUGUUAAGAGCUCUGUCGGAUGUCGUGUAGGAGCUUGGAAGAUAAUGUUGAGAACACUGCAGAAGAUGGAGCUCUGGUGUGUGAAAUUUCAGAGGGAAAAUUAAAGACUCUUUUCAGGGCCAUUGCUAUUUUGGAUUGUGAAGAUUUUGUCGUUCUGGUUAGCUGGGGCUGAAGAAUCAGCUGUGAUUAACAAGAUACCAGAACUACCAAAGCAAAAACUUUGCAUUACUGGGACUAUUGAUGCUAGUUAGCUGGAGCUAAGAAAUUAGCGGUGAUUAAGAAGAGACCAGCAUCAUUGAGGUGACAUCUUCUGGGAAGUGUUUUCUGAAAGCACAAAGAGGCUGUGUUCCAGAGAUGGCCAAGGUUGUACUCCUGCUGCAGCGGGACUUGGUAAUAUGUAAGGGUCACCCAGGUGGUACUAGUUUUGAAGGCAUGAAGGGGUCACACAAAGCAGCUGAGGCUCGGUACUGUGAGAGGCCAUGGAAGGCCAUUGGUGAAGGUGCAGCCUCAGUUGCAAUUGAAGGCCCAGGACUGAAGGGGUCAUGCAGUGUUUUGGAGAUGCCAGUACCAUGAGAUGACCACCAAGAGCAGCAGCAGCAGCAGUGGGGUACAGGCAUCUGGAGCCUAGAGGAUGAUGCGUGUGCUACAAAGGGCAUGGCUGGAUAAGUGACCCAAGCCCUUGGAGGAGCCCAGAAGAUCGUGAGUUGGAUCCCAGACAUUGGACAGUUGGAGAUUGACUUUUGCUUUUGAUUGUGACUGUGCCCUGAUAUUUUCCCUCUUGAAGGAAGAAACUGUUUUAGUGGAGCCCACAGUUAAGAGACUUUUAAUUGUAAAAAGACUUUGGAUUUUAAAAAGAUGGAUAUUUUAAAGAAAUUGAAAUUUUAAGAAUAUGUAAAGGCUGUGGGACUUUUAAAGUUAUUUAGAUCUUGGGGAUGAAUAAGAUUGUAAGGGUUGAGGCUUACUAGUGAUGUUUUUGUGUGUCAAGUUGACAAGGGGUCAAUUGUACUGGCUAGUUUUGUGUCAACUUGGCACAGCUGGAGUUAUCACAGAGAAAGGAGCUUCAGUUGAGGAAAUGCCUCCAUGAGAUCCAACUGGCAUUUUCUCAAUGAGUGAUCAAGGGGGAAAGGCCCCUUGUGGGUGGGACCAUCUCUGGGCUGGUAGUCUUGGGUUUUAUAAGAGAGCAGGCUGAGCAAGCCAGGUGAAGCAAGCCAGUAAAGAACAUCCCUCCAUGGCCUCUGCGUCAGCUCCUGCUUUCUGACCUGCUUGAGUUCCAGUCCUGCAUCCUUUGGUGAUCAACAGCAGUAUGGAAAUGUAAGCCGAAUAAAUCCUUUCCUCCCCAACUUGCUUCUUGGUCAUGAUGUUUGUGCAGGAAUAGAAACCCUGACUAAGACAGAUGCCUUGCCACUCCUUAUUGGUCAUCUCCUGUCAUGACAUCAUAGAAAGAAACGAACCAGAAAACUCCUGGUGGUGUUCUGGCAGCUUCCUUGGACUUGGGCUGAUGGGCAAAGUGAAGUGGAAGUUUCUGGCUAUGUCAGCUGAUAUAGAUUCACAUGGAGUUUUCUUGAAGCAAGACCCGUGGGAGGACACGUGAUGUUUGGAGGAGUAUACAUAGGACUCGAUGGACAGUGGCGGUGAGCUUCAUGGAUCUUGUGUCUUUGUCUUCGUUGAUCUUCACUUCACUGAGGUAGUGCCGCUGCUGCUGAUUCACGUUUGCUAUCCUGACACACAGGACUGGACUGCUGGUGUCAUGCUCGCUUCAGCAGUACAUAUACUAAGAUUGUCAGGACUGCUGGUAUUCUGACAACUGGAGAAUGGAAUCGCCCCAAGGAGCUGCUUCCAAACACCAUUCAGCAGAGCCUCGCAGCCUCCUCCGGGUUGACUGCUGUUGCUGAUUCGUGAAUGGUGUUUGCGAGUGGGUUGAGCUGCUGCCGCUGAUUCGUAAGAACUGAACUGCUGCUAUCCUGACAAUGCAGACUGGAUCUGCUCCAAAGAACAAUAUCUCAACUUCCCCUGUAUCCCAAUAACCUUCCUUUUCCAUUACCUCUGGGAGGUGGUAGGCUAGAAGGGAGGUUAAAGCAUGUACAAAUCCUUAUUAAAGUAGGCCUUGAAAAUCUG
Molecule: long non-coding RNA, 2460 nt
Organism: Mus musculus (house mouse)
Lineage: Eukaryota; Metazoa; Chordata; Mammalia; Rodentia; Muridae
Product: predicted gene, 41358
Exons: 2
Source: RefSeq, a predicted model, not a curated record